GAUGAACGCUGGCGGCGUGCCUAAUACAUGCAAGUCGAGCGAACGGACGAGAAGCUUGCUUCUCUGAUGUUAGCGGCGGACGGGAGAGUUACACGUGGAUCCCCUAACUUUAAGACUGCGAUAACUUCGGGAAACCGGAGCUAAUAACGGAUACUAUUUUGAACCGCAUGGUUCAAAAGUGAAAGACGGUCUUGCUGUCACUUAUAGAUGGAUCCGCGGUGUAUUAGCUAGUUGGUAACGUAACGGCUUCCCAAGGCAAGGAUGCAUAGCCGACCUGUGAAGGUGAACGGCCACAGUGGGACUGAGACACGGUCCAGACUCCGACGGGAGGCAGCGAUAGGGAAGCGUCGGAGAUGGGCGGAAGCCUGACGGAGCAGCGGCGCGUGAGUGAAGAAGGGCUUCGGAUCGUAAAACGCUGUUAUGAGGGAAGAACAUAUUUGUAAGUAACGGUGCACAUCGUGACGGUACCUAAACAGGAAGCCACGGCUAACUACGUG
RNAcentral lists this ribosomal RNA (497 nucleotides) under uncultured bacterium. Its description in RNAcentral is "partial 16S ribosomal RNA". It matches the Rfam family "Bacterial small subunit ribosomal RNA", at positions 28 to 507 of the family's 1533-position model. The record is from RNAcentral.